GCUCCGGUGGCCAAGUGGUUAGCGCGUCAACCUAGAAUGCGGGAGGUUGUGGGUUUGAUCCCCCCGCAGAGUCA
Molecule: non-coding RNA, 74 nt
Organism: Potamilus streckersoni
Lineage: Eukaryota; Metazoa; Mollusca; Bivalvia; Unionida; Unionidae
Source: the annotation of a GenBank genome assembly